GGGGAAUAUUGGACAAUGGCCGCAAGGCUGAUCCAGCCAUCCAGCGUGCAGGAAGAAGGCCCUAUGGGUUGUAAACUGCUUUUGUCAGGGAAUAAACCUGUGGAUUUACUCCGCAGCUGAAGGUACCUGAAGAAUAAGCUCCGGCUAACUCCGUGCCAGCAGCCGCGGUAAUACGGAGGGUGCGAGCGUUAUCCGGAAUUACUGGGUUUAAAGGGUGCGUAGGCGGCGUAGUAAGUCAGGAGUGAAAGUUUGCGGCUCAACCGUAAAAUUGCUUUUGAUACUGCUAUGCUAGAAUUAGGAUGAGGUCAGCGGAAUGUGGCAUGUAGCGGUGAAAUGCAUAGAUAUGCCAUAGAACACCAAUUGCGAAGGCAGCUGGCUAGACCUGGAUUGACGCUGAGGCACGAAAGCGUGGGGAGCGA
This 419-nucleotide ribosomal RNA is filed under the name uncultured bacterium. RNAcentral describes it as "bacterial SSU rRNA". It matches the Rfam family "Bacterial small subunit ribosomal RNA", at positions 356 to 771 of the family's 1533-position model. The record is from RNAcentral.